RNAcentral lists this transfer RNA (65 nucleotides) under Dipodomys ordii (Ord's kangaroo rat). It matches the Rfam family "tRNA". Rfam says of the family: Transfer RNA (tRNA) molecules are approximately 80 nucleotides in length. The record is from Rfam by way of RNAcentral. Lineage: Eukaryota; Metazoa; Chordata; Mammalia; Rodentia; Heteromyidae.
GGUGGCUCAGUGGGAGAGCGCUUGCCUCGCAUGCAAGAGACCCUGGGUUCGAUUCCUCAGCACCA